Molecule: ribosomal RNA, 253 nt
Filed under: uncultured bacterium
Lineage: Bacteria
Description: partial 16S ribosomal RNA
Rfam family: Bacterial small subunit ribosomal RNA
Source: RNAcentral
UACGGAGGGAGCUAGCGUUGUUCGGAUAUACUGGGCGCAAAGCGCACGUAGGCGGCGCAGCAAGUCAGGGGUGAAAUCCCGGAGCUCAACUCCGGAACUGCCUUUGAAACUGCAGUGCUAGAAUCCUGGAGAGGCGAGUGGAAUUCCGAGUGUAGAGGUGAAAUUCGUAGAUAUCGAGAAGAACACCGGUGGCGAAGGCGGCCAUCUGGACGGUGACUGACUCUGAGACGCGAAAGCGUGGGGAGCAAACAGG